RNAcentral lists this long non-coding RNA (595 nucleotides) under Androctonus crassicauda. Lineage: Eukaryota; Metazoa; Arthropoda; Arachnida; Scorpiones; Buthidae. The record is from RNAcentral.
CUGAUCUCUUUAAAGCCUCUGCCUUCCGUUUCUACUUUAAAAGAGCCAAGCAAUAUAUUGACACUCAAGAAGAUAUGGAGAAGGAACUAGAACACAUCUAUAGAACAGGCCACUUAUAUGAAUAUAGCAAAGGAUUCCUUAGGAGGAUAUAGAAUAAACUAUAACAAUAACCAGUCACUUGAAACACUGUGAAAGAAGAAAAUGCUGGUUAUGAGCCUAUCCCAUUUGCCAUGAAGAACUCCAAAGUCGUUAGAAGGAUAAUCGAAAGAUCUAAUAAAAAAAUGGCCCCUAUAAGGUAGCCAACUCUACACAACCAGCUUAGAAAUGAAAAAGAUGAAUUUGGAUAAGUGGCACAAAUCUGGAGUAUAUAGGGUACCGGUCAAGAAUAACACCUUUGAAGAUGAUAAGGUAUACAUAGGAGUAACCACCAGAACACUUAACCAGAGACUGAAAGAGCACAAAAAUGAUUUGCAUAAAAGUAGAAUCAGUUCAGCGCUAGUGGUGAUUGCUUAUAAGUAUGACCUAUAAAUGGUAUGGUCUAAAGUGGAAGUUGUUAAAAUUUAAAGAAAGAUAAACACGCUUUACUAGCAGAGAC